CCUAUAUCGGUGGUGUCCACCUCUUCCCAUUCCGAACAGAGAAGUUAAGCCCACCAGAGCCGAUGGUACUGCGGUAACACGUGGGAGAGUAGGUCGGUGCCAAAU
RNAcentral lists this ribosomal RNA (105 nucleotides) under Pedobacter agri. The record is from RNAcentral. Lineage: Bacteria; Pseudomonadati; Bacteroidota; Sphingobacteriia; Sphingobacteriales; Sphingobacteriaceae. RNAcentral also lists the same sequence under 1 other name.